GAUGAACGCUGGCGGCGUGCUUUCACAUGCAAGUCGAACGAACCUUCGGGUUAGUGGCGGACGGGUGAGUAACGCGUGAGAAUCUGCCCUCAGGAGGGGGACAACAGCUGGAAACGGCUGCUAAUACCCCAUAUGCCGCGAGGUGAAAUGAAUUUCGCCUGAGGAUGAGCUCGCGUCUGAUUAGCUAGUUGGUGUAGGUAAUGGCUCACCAAGGCAUCGAUCAGUAGCUGGUCUGAGAGGAUGAUCAGCCACACUGGGACUGAGACACGGCCCAGACUCCUACGGGAGGCAGCAGUGGGGAAUUUUCCGCAAUGGGCGAAAGCCUGACGGAGCAACGCCGCGUGAGGGAUGAAGGCCUCUGGGCUGUAAACCUCUUUUAUCAAGGAAGAAGAUCUGACGGUACUUGAUGAAUAAGCCACGGCUAAUUCCGUG
This 432-nucleotide ribosomal RNA is filed under the name uncultured bacterium. RNAcentral describes it as "bacterial SSU rRNA". It matches the Rfam family "Bacterial small subunit ribosomal RNA", at positions 28 to 507 of the family's 1533-position model. The record is from RNAcentral.